CCUUCCUCUGGCUUUGGUUUUGUCUCUGGACACCACCUCUUAAUCAUUCCCCUCUGUUUCAUUCGUUGAAGUCAGCUCGCAGGCAAAUGUCACUGAGGCUCCAGGGACAUCCCAUCCAACAGCCCCAGUCUGGUGUCCAAGGGUACUUGUCCAUAUUCAUUCCACUGCCUUAAAUCUGCCUUAUUACUCUCAAAUCUUGGGUCAGUGUCUACAGCACUUUAAUCUCCUCAAAAGUGGAGACUGUGCACAUUCUGCAUUUGUUUUUCC
This 267-nucleotide long non-coding RNA is filed under the name Homo sapiens (human). RNAcentral describes it as "HSALNT0016715". Lineage: Eukaryota; Metazoa; Chordata; Mammalia; Primates; Hominidae. The record is from RNAcentral.